Molecule: ribosomal RNA, 332 nt
Filed under: uncultured bacterium
Lineage: Bacteria
Description: bacterial SSU rRNA
Rfam family: Bacterial small subunit ribosomal RNA
Source: RNAcentral
CGUGUAGGCGGUUGGUCAAGUCUGGCGUGAAAGCCCGGGGCUUAGCUCCGGAAGUGCGCUGGAAACUAGCCGACUGGAGCGCGAUAGAGGAGGGUGGAAUUCCUGGUGUAGCGGUGAAAUGCGUAGAUAUCAGGAGGAACACCGGCGGCGAAGGCGGCCCUCUGGAUCGUUGCUGACGCUGAGACGCGAAAGCGUAGGGAGCAAACAGGAUUAGAUACCCUGGUAGUCCACGCUGUAAACUAUGGGUACUAGGUGUUCGGGGUGUUGACCCCCUGAGUGCCGACGCUAACGCAUUAAGUACCCCGCCUGGGGACUACGGUCGCAAGGCUAGA